UACGUAGGGUGCGAGCGUUGUCCGGAAUUACUGGGCGUAAAGAGCUUGUAGGUGGUUUGUCGCGUUGUUCGUGAAAUCUCACGGCUUAACUGUGAGCGUGCGGGCGAUACGGGCAGACUGGAGUACUGCAGGGGAGGCUGGAAUUCCUGGUGUAGCGGUGGAAUGCGCAGAUAUCAGGAGGAACACCGGUGGCGAAGGCGGGUCUCUGGGCAGUAACUGACGCUGAGAAGCGAAAGCGUGGGGAGCGAACAGA
This 253-nucleotide ribosomal RNA is filed under the name uncultured bacterium. Its description in RNAcentral is "partial 16S ribosomal RNA". It matches the Rfam family "Bacterial small subunit ribosomal RNA", at positions 524 to 776 of the family's 1533-position model. The record is from RNAcentral.